GAAAUGCGAUAAGUAAUGUGAAUUGCAGAAUUCAGUGAAUCAUCGAAUCUUUGAACGCACAUUGCGCCCGCUAGUAUUCUGGCGGGCAUGCCUGUUCGAGCGUCAUUACAACCCUCAGGCCCCCGGGCCUGGCGUUGGGGAUCGGCGGAAGCCCCCUGCGGGCACAACGCCGUCCCCCAAAUACAGUGGCGGUCCCGCCGCAGCUUCCAUUGCGUAGUAGCUAACACCUCGCAACUGGAGAGCGGCGCGGCCACGCCGUAAAACACCCAACUUCUGAAUGUUGACCUCGAAUCAGGUAGGAAUACCCGCUGAACUUAAGC
Molecule: unclassified non-coding RNA, 320 nt
Filed under: plant metagenome
Description: partial contains 5.8S ribosomal RNA, internal transcribed spacer 2, and large subunit ribosomal RNA
Rfam family: 5.8S ribosomal RNA (bases 1-105)
Source: RNAcentral